RNAcentral lists this non-coding RNA (110 nucleotides) under unclassified sequences. RNAcentral's name for it is "chrB RNA". It matches the Rfam family "chrB-a RNA". The record is from RNAcentral.
UCCCUGGGGGAAGCGAUCUCCCCACGAGGCGACAGCCGAAGCAUCGCGUCCAUCAGUUAAGUCUGCGCUCGCGGCACGUGUGCUCGCAGCAGGUGUAAGGACGCGCGAUG